UAUAGAAAUAUUUAUAUGAUAUUUUAUUUAUAAAUUUGUAAUUAUUUAUUAAUAUUUUUAAAUAUAUAAAUCUUAUAUAUUAUUAAUAUAUGUUUAUUAUUAAUAUAUGAAUAUAUUUAAUUUAUAUAUAAAAAUUAUAAUAAUAAUAUAUAUAGUAUAUUAAUUAUUAUAUAUUUAAUAUAUAGCCGUAUUUUUUAUUCCGAAUUUUUAAUUGGUUACCGAAUCCGUUUUUUAGCCGUAUUUUUUAACGAAUUAAAAAUUAAAAGACGAAUUUUAUUCGAAUUAUAUCCGUACCGAAUUUUUGCCGAAUCCGAAUUAACUAACUAUGGAAUGUAG
Molecule: long non-coding RNA, 336 nt
Filed under: Ananas comosus (pineapple)
Lineage: Eukaryota; Viridiplantae; Streptophyta; Magnoliopsida; Poales; Bromeliaceae
Description: long non-coding RNA (ACOM_LNC005966)
Source: RNAcentral